This 482-nucleotide unclassified non-coding RNA is filed under the name uncultured marine bacterium. Its description in RNAcentral is "partial 16S-23S ribosomal RNA intergenic spacer". The stretch from base 147 to 220 matches the Rfam family "tRNA". The record is from RNAcentral.
GUCGUAACAAGGUAGCCGUAGGGGAACCUGCGGCUGGAUCACCUCCUUUCUAAAGGAAAAAAAACUUUGAACUAAGUGUACGUUUAAAGUAACCACCGUCUAUUUGUUUUGCUUUUUUCAACUAACGUUGAUAAAGGGCAUUGAUUGGGCGUGUAGCUCAGUUGGUUAGAGCGCGCGCUUGAUAAGCGUGAGGUCGGAGGUUCAAGUCCUCCCUCGCCCACCAACACUGUUGGGGGAUUAGCUCAGCUGGGAGAGCGCCUGAUUUGCAUUCAGGAGGUCAGCGGUUCGAUCCCGCUAUCCUCCACCAACUUUUUAAAAUCGUAAAUAUGUAAGCUGAUAACACAGACGAAUAACUUGCACGAGUUGUUCGUCAAUUAAACAACUAAUAUAACAACAAAUAACUACAAAAAGUUAUUAACAACAAACUUUUCACUGUGUGUUAAUAAUUCAAGCGCGUAAGAGCAUUUGGUGGAUGCCUUGGC